This 253-nucleotide ribosomal RNA is filed under the name uncultured bacterium. RNAcentral's name for it is "partial 16S ribosomal RNA". It matches the Rfam family "Bacterial small subunit ribosomal RNA", at positions 524 to 776 of the family's 1533-position model. The record is from RNAcentral.
UACGGGGGGGGCAAGAGCUGUCAGGAAUCAUUGGGCGUAAAGGGAGCGUAGGUGGGAUGGUCAGUCAGAGGUGAAAACCAUGGGCUUAACUUAUGGCCUGCCUUUGAAACUGCCAAUCUUGAGUACGGUAGAGGGAAGCGGAAUUCCUGGUCUAGCGGUGAAAUGCGUAGAUAUCAGGAAGAAGACCGGUCGCGAAGGCGGCUGCCUGGAUCGUAACUGACUCGGGGUCACAAACGCGGUUGGCGCGAACACG